RNAcentral lists this ribosomal RNA (468 nucleotides) under uncultured bacterium. RNAcentral describes it as "partial 16S ribosomal RNA". It matches the Rfam family "Bacterial small subunit ribosomal RNA", at positions 28 to 507 of the family's 1533-position model. The record is from RNAcentral.
GACGAACGCUGGCGGCGUGCUUAACACAUGCAAGUCGAACGGAAAGGCCCUGCUUUUGUGGGGUGCUCGAGUGGCGAACGGGUGAGUAACACGUGAGUAACCUGCCCUUGACUUUGGGAUAACUUCAGGAAACUGGGGCUAAUACCGGAUAGGAGCUUCUGCUGCAUGGUGGGGGUAGGAAAGUUUCGGCGGUUGGGGAUGGACUCGCGGCUUAUCAGCUUGUUGGGGGGGUAGUGGCUUACCAAGGCUUUGACGGGUAGCCGGCCUGAGAGGGUGGCCGGCCACAAGAGGACUGAGGUAGGGCGCAGACGCCAACGGGAGGCAGCGGGGGGAAGUAUGACACAAUAGGGGGAAGCGUGUGGCGAAGGCGCCGGGUGCGGAAAGACGGCCUACGGGGGGUAAACCGCUUUCGCCGGUGACGAAGCGUGAGUGACGGUAAUGAGUAAAGAAGCACCGGCUAACUACGUG